RNAcentral lists this ribosomal RNA (1478 nucleotides) under Bacillus amyloliquefaciens. Its description in RNAcentral is "bacterial SSU rRNA". It matches the Rfam family "Bacterial small subunit ribosomal RNA". The record is from RNAcentral. Lineage: Bacteria; Bacillati; Bacillota; Bacilli; Caryophanales; Bacillaceae.
CAGGACGAACGCUGGCGGCGUGCCUAAUACAUGCAAGUCGAGCGGACAGAUGGGAGCUUGCUCCCUGAUGUUAGCGGCGGACGGGUGAGUAACACGUGGGUAACCUGCCUGUAAGACUGGGAUAACUCCGGGAAACCGGGGCUAAUACCGGAUGCUUGUUUGAACCGCAUGGUUCAGACAUAAAAGGUGGCUUCGGCUACCACUUACAGAUGGACCCGCGGCGCAUUAGCUAGUUGGUGAGGUAACGGCUCACCAAGGCGACGAUGCGUAGCCGACCUGAGAGGGUGAUCGGCCACACUGGGACUGAGACACGGCCCAGACUCCUACGGGAGGCAGCAGUAGGGAAUCUUCCGCAAUGGACGAAAGUCUGACGGAGCAACGCCGCGUGAGUGAUGAAGGUUUUCGGAUCGUAAAGCUCUGUUGUUAGGGAAGAACAAGUGCCGUUCAAAUAGGGCGGCACCUUGACGGUACCUAACCAGAAAGCCACGGCUAACUACGUGCCAGCAGCCGCGGUAAUACGUAGGUGGCAAGCGUUGUCCGGAAUUAUUGGGCGUAAAGGGCUCGCAGGCGGUUUCUUAAGUCUGAUGUGAAAGCCCCCGGCUCAACCGGGGAGGGUCAUUGGAAACUGGGGAACUUGAGUGCAGAAGAGGAGAGUGGAAUUCCACGUGUAGCGGUGAAAUGCGUAGAGAUGUGGAGGAACACCAGUGGCGAAGGCGACUCUCUGGUCUGUAACUGACGCUGAGGAGCGAAAGCGUGGGGAGCGAACAGGAUUAGAUACCCUGGUAGUCCACGCCGUAAACGAUGAGUGCUAAGUGUUAGGGGGUUUCCGCCCCUUAGUGCUGCAGCUAACGCAUUAAGCACUCCGCCUGGGGAGUACGGUCGCAAGACUGAAACUCAAAGGAAUUGACGGGGGCCCGCACAAGCGGUGGAGCAUGUGGUUUAAUUCGAAGCAACGCGAAGAACCUUACCAGGUCUUGACAUCCUCUGACAAUCCUAGAGAUAGGACGUCCCCUUCGGGGGCAGAGUGACAGGUGGUGCAUGGUUGUCGUCAGCUCGUGUCGUGAGAUGUUGGGUUAAGUCCCGCAACGAGCGCAACCCUUGAUCUUAGUUGCCAGCAUUCAGUUGGGCACUCUAAGGUGACUGCCGGUGACAAACCGGAGGAAGGUGGGGAUGACGUCAAAUCAUCAUGCCCCUUAUGACCUGGGCUACACACGUGCUACAAUGGACAGAACAAAGGGCAGCGAAACCGCGAGGUUAAGCCAAUCCCACAAAUCUGUUCUCAGUUCGGAUCGCAGUCUGCAACUCGACUGCGUGAAGCUGGAAUCGCUAGUAAUCGCGGAUCAGCAUGCCGCGGGUGAAUACGUUCCCGGGCCUUGUACACACCGCCCGUCACACCACGAGAGUUUGUAACACCCGAAGUCGGUGAGGUAACCUUUAUGGAGCCAGCCGCCGAAGGUGGGACAGAUGAUUGGGGGUGA